AUCCGGCUGACGAGUCCCAAAUAGGACGGAACGCGCGUCAAACAAGAU
RNAcentral lists this non-coding RNA (48 nucleotides) under Schistosoma mansoni. Lineage: Eukaryota; Metazoa; Platyhelminthes; Trematoda; Strigeidida; Schistosomatidae. The record is from RNAcentral.